AUUCUUCCUUGGUCAUUUAGUUUGGCGGACAUAGCCUAUAUUCCAUUUGUUGAAAGGUUCCAGAUCUUCUUAUCAGAAGUAUACAAGUAUGACAUUACAGAGGGUAGGCCAAAACUAGCAUCAUGGAUCGAGGAGCUGAACAAGAUUGAUGCCUUCAAGCAGACAAAAACAGAUCCAAAAGAGCUGGUGGAAUUUUACAAGAAGCGCUUCCAGGCUCAACAGUAAUUUGUCACCAGUUAGACUAUGCUAAAUAAGUUGGUGUGUUAUGAGUGUUUUAUAAUAAAGGCUAUUUAUGCCAUAUGUAUCUGUAUACUAUAGAUAAUGUGCGAAUGUCAGUGAUGUAUUGCAUUUGAA
Long non-coding RNA from Pistacia vera, 354 nucleotides. RefSeq lists it as uncharacterized. Lineage: Eukaryota; Viridiplantae; Streptophyta; Magnoliopsida; Sapindales; Anacardiaceae. The record is from RefSeq and is a predicted model, not a curated record. The transcript has 4 exons.